GGGUGAGUAACACGUGGAUAACCUACCUAUAAGACUGGGAUAACUUCGGGAAACCGUAGCUAAUACCGGAUAAUAUUUUGAACCGCAUGGUUCAAAAGUGAAAGACGGUCUUGCUGUCACUUAUAGAUGGAUCCGCGCUGCAUUAGCUAGUUGGUAAGGUAACGGCUUACCAAGGCAACGAUGCAUAGCCGACCUGAGAGGGUGAUCGGCCACACUGGAACUGAGACACGGCCCAG
Molecule: ribosomal RNA, 236 nt
Filed under: uncultured Staphylococcus sp.
Lineage: Bacteria; Bacillati; Bacillota; Bacilli; Caryophanales; Staphylococcaceae
Description: partial 16S ribosomal RNA
Rfam family: Bacterial small subunit ribosomal RNA
Source: RNAcentral